Molecule: small nuclear RNA, 24 nt
Filed under: Arabidopsis thaliana (thale cress)
Lineage: Eukaryota; Viridiplantae; Streptophyta; Magnoliopsida; Brassicales; Brassicaceae
Description: snRNA_03576
Source: RNAcentral
ACGGAUUUCCUGCAGUUUAUAGUA